Molecule: long non-coding RNA, 1237 nt
Filed under: Spirodela polyrhiza (greater duckweed)
Lineage: Eukaryota; Viridiplantae; Streptophyta; Magnoliopsida; Alismatales; Araceae
Description: long non-coding RNA (SPOL_LNC001839)
Source: RNAcentral
AGAGAUCGUCAGUCGACGGAUCCGACGUUCCCGAAAUUCGCGACGGUGAAGAAUAGAAAGAAAAUUUUCACUGCAUCAUCUUUCCCGGCAGAUUUGGUUUUCUUGUUUAAUCUCAGCGUUUGUCACUUCGCCAGGUGGCUUGGAAAGUCCGCCGUCGAUCCGAGCGCGAAUGACGGCCAGAAGUUCCCCAUUCCCAUGUGCUCUGCAAAGCACGAUCCUUCCAGAGAUUGCGACUGAUCAUUGGACAGGGAACCUGGAGAUUAUUGAAGAUGAUCGUUAGGGUUGAAUUUCUCAGCGAUCUUCUUUCAGGUCUUCUGGUAGAGUCACCGAGCGAGGUAGAUCCUCCAGCACGUAUCUACGUAUCCACCUUCACUCGGUGUUUUUUUAUUUAUAGUCACAUCCGUCAUUAUUAUCGGCGUUUAAAUCAGACAGAUAUUCCGAUCCCUCCCCCCUCAAAUCCUACGCCAAUUUCGUCGUUUUGGCAUUCGAAUCUGCGUCCGGCACGUUCUUCCACCCGAUUGCUUCCCCAUGCAUGUGGAUCCGCUCCCAAGUCACCGCCGUGGUCAGGGACCAUUCGAGAUCCAAACCAGGAGAACUCCGCGACUGGUAGAAAAAACUUCACAGAUCAAUGAUGCCGAGAUCAUUCGACAAGAGAGAGGGAUGUAUUUCUGACCCCCCGUUCCCUUGGUUUUUUUAGAAGAAAAAGAAUCACAAAUGAGGACGGAAAGUAGCCGGGGUCUGUCUGUUUUCACCGCUCUGUACCUCGUCUUAACGGCAGUAUAUUGUGUAUACACAGGGAGGAUGGAGGAAGAUCUCUACGGCCGUCGAUCAACAGCCCAAAUCCCUCUGGAUGGAGACUUGCCGUCCAUCUUGACGACCUUUGGCCGGGGUCCUCUGUGCCGGCGAGCUUGAUCAUCGAAGGAGACGCUCCUCCUGAUGUCGACCUUGACGACGUGGUGGUCCGAGGUGCCCUUGGAGGAGAAGACGGAGUACGAUCCUGGCAUGAAUUCGAACGGCGAGCUAGGGGAGCUCAGGAUGUAGUCCACGCGGGUGCCAUACUUGCAGGUUCCCUGUACGUCUGCGAGCAGGGGAAGAAAGAGGAAUCAGCCCUCCGCCGGGAAGGAGACGACAGGCCGGAAGGGGCGGGAGGAGGCGGCGGGCUCACCUUGGCCCUUGGCCAGGACCACAAUGGCCUCGCAUUCUCCCGCAAAAUCCUUGGCGUCCACGUAGCUCUUCU